AGCUUUGCGCGGUGGCAGUAUCGAAGCCAAUGAGGUUUAUCCGAGGCGCGAUUAUUGCUAAUAGAAAAUAUGGAUGUCAUUCUAGGCUGUUCCAAGUGCAUCCCUUCAGCUGCUGGAUUUACGCUCCCUCACGUGUAGGUGAGGGUUUGGAAUGGGGGGUGCCUU
RNAcentral lists this small nuclear RNA (165 nucleotides) under Panthera tigris altaica (Amur tiger). Its description in RNAcentral is "U4 spliceosomal RNA (ENSPTIG00000001016.1)". The stretch from base 1 to 72 matches the Rfam family "U4 spliceosomal RNA". The record is from RNAcentral. Lineage: Eukaryota; Metazoa; Chordata; Mammalia; Carnivora; Felidae.